CUCCGGAAUCCGACGCUCUCCCCAAGGACACAAGCCAUGCAUGCCCGCACACCCGGGAGGCGGCGGACGGCUCAGGACAACGGUUGCACCCCCCGCGGCGGUCCCUGCUAGCCGGACACCGCUGGCAACCCGGCGCCAAGACGUGCGCGCAAGGGCGGGCGCCCGCGGGCGAGCAGCGUGACGCAGCGACGGCCCGCCCGGGCUUUCCGGGGCAUCACCCGGUCGGCGCGGUCGCGGCGCGCCGAGGGCCCGACGCCUGGC
RNAcentral lists this ribosomal RNA (261 nucleotides) under Giardia sp. 5772_1. RNAcentral's name for it is "partial small subunit ribosomal RNA". The record is from RNAcentral. Lineage: Eukaryota; Fornicata; Diplomonadida; Hexamitidae.